RNAcentral lists this long non-coding RNA (2076 nucleotides) under Olea europaea (common olive). RNAcentral describes it as "long non-coding RNA (OEUR_LNC013393)". The record is from RNAcentral. Lineage: Eukaryota; Viridiplantae; Streptophyta; Magnoliopsida; Lamiales; Oleaceae.
CGUACCCAAUGCCUUCCAAAUUAACCCUAAUUUUCUGUGUCAAAAAGAGACAAGUACAACACAUUUUCUUCACCCCUCUACGAUUUACAAUGGCUUUCUUUAAUACGAGUGAAGGUGCUCAUUUUUUGCUCGUUGUUUAGAGCUUGCACUGCACUCGGAGAUAAUAGAGAAGAUAAAGAGUUGCCUACUUUCUGGGACAUUUUCAGUAGAAAUUCACAAGUGCUAUAAUAAAACUUUAAGCUUUUCAACUGUUCUUCAUUUUAACGAACUCAUCAGCCAAUGAAAAAUUAAGCACAGAAAUGGAGUCGACCUUGAAGGUUACUUUCCACUCUUAAAUUUCUACAUUUUUAAUUUCUCUACUUUUUUUUUUUUCUCUAAGGUUUUUAACUAUUUUAUUAUUUUUAGUACAGAAAUGUUUUGAGUUUUCUCCUUCCUCUGGCGAUGAUCCCUCUGAUGAUGAUGCCAAAUAGGAAACGUGUCACAUGAGGAGCUCAAACGGGUUUGACAAAAACUCACACAAUUUUUUUUUUUUGUGCUUUUAAAAUUUUGGAUAAACAUGUUAGGGAUUAAACUUCAAGUUUUAGAAAAGCUUUCUCAAGUAAAAAUUAGAUAUACAACAACGCUGUGGCCCAUAAUUUUCUUUUUUAGUUUGAUUUUUGGAAGCCAUUUUUAGUUUUUUAUAUGGAGUUCAAUUCAGGUAUGUUGAUUUGUUAUGGUGUUCUGAAUCUUGAUUGAGUGAACUGGAUUUUCUAUUUUCUCGAUUUUCUUUAAGUCAUUUGAUUGGUGUCGAUUAAUUUGUGAGCUAGAUUCUUUAUAGGAUUUUACUCCUUGCACAGGGCCCUGUGCACAGGGCCUGAGAACUGGAUUUUCUAUUUUCUCGAUUUUCUUUAAGUCAUUUGAUUGGUGUCGAUUAAUUUGUGUGCUAGAUUCUUUAUAGGAUUCUUUAUUGGUUUGAUUUUCAAUUAUUGGGAUUUUUCGGGUUUUGGGUUUUAGCUCCCGAAAAUGAAAAUGAAGGGAGUAGUAUUUUUUAGAAAAAUGAGUAGUUGAAAAAAGGGAAAAUUUUUCGAUUUAUGUGUAAUAUUAUAUUGUGGAAGAUUACGUGGUUGAAAAUAGGAGAGAAAAAUGGAAUUUAAUGUAAUUGAAUUUAAUGGGAAUCAAAUAGUUCCAUGACCAUCUCUUUCAAUUAACUUUUACGGGCUUCUUUAUAUUUUUAUUAUGCAUAAUUUUUUCUUUUGAAAUUGAUUUUUUCUGUUUUCAAAUUUAUUUGUUCUUUUUCUAAAUUUAGAUUGUUAUUCAUGAAUUUUUGUGGCAUUCCCUUACAAUUCAAGGUUUCCCAAUUUCAAAAACUAUGAUGUGACUUGAACGACUAUUACUUUUAUUGCUUAUGAAUUGUGCUUAAUCUCAUUCUAUUAUCAUCAUAAAUUUAUUCCUUUUUUAUUGUUUUGUGAUUUUCCAUGAACAUUCCACUUUUUCUAAGUAUGCUAAAUUCAUCAUGAUUUGUUCAUGUUAAAUUUAUGGAUCUUGUUGUAUCUGUUUCUUAUGUCUUUUGGCAGAGAAAACGUGGGAAUAUAGUUUUGAUGAUGAAAUAGAAUUGAGUUACUAUUACAAUAUUAUUAAACUAUUGCUUUAAGAACUGUCUUUUAACAAUGAGAGGGAAUUUUGGCCUUCUCCUAUUCAAAAACUAAUAUUUUAUCAUCCAUAAAGUUAUACGAGGAUUCGUUGUCUUUUCGGCUCUUUCGAAUGCAAGGAUAUGAUAUAAAUCCAAGUAGAAUUUCGAAAUCGUUACUUUAUUCACACAUUUUAUUGCUUGUACAUAGUGUACUGACUUAAAUUUUGUAUAUGUUUAGGGAACAUUAAUUGGUUUCUGAAGCAUGCAAAAAUUCUGAAGCAUAUGAGAAGAAAACUAUGGUCAAUUGAGGCUCGUGUUAGAAGUUGUACAAUUUUGUUUCUUGCCAUCACUCAUUCUUACUGCGAUGGUUAAAUAUUUUACUUCCAGUUUCUGCUUGAAAUAAUUAGGCGCUACUCAUCAAGCAAUUGUAGUUACUGUGAAUGAAGCACGUUGUUUGUACAUUUGGG